UAUAAUGGAGGCAGAAGAGCAUCAGCCAUGGAAGGUAAGCUUUUACUCUGAAUUGCCAAAGUGGAACUUCAUGCCCACUUGAAUUGAUCCAUUAGAACUAAUGGAUCCAGAAUCCACGAUCAGACAAAACUGUGAUUGACAAGGGAAAAAAACAAACUUUAGAAGAAUGUUUCCAGAUGUUCAAAAUGAUUCAUCAGCUUACUAGUAGUUGGGAAGGUAUUCUAAUGGUCACAAGAGAUAUCAUUAAAGAAUUUGCAGAGUGAAUCUAUACUUGAAAGUAUAAAACGGUCCAAACAAGAAAACUUAGACACUGACGUUAG
RNAcentral lists this long non-coding RNA (320 nucleotides) under Homo sapiens (human). RNAcentral describes it as "non-protein coding lnc-EXPH5-4:1". The record is from RNAcentral. Lineage: Eukaryota; Metazoa; Chordata; Mammalia; Primates; Hominidae.